Molecule: unclassified non-coding RNA, 209 nt
Filed under: Hevea brasiliensis (rubber tree)
Lineage: Eukaryota; Viridiplantae; Streptophyta; Magnoliopsida; Malpighiales; Euphorbiaceae
Source: RNAcentral
UCUCAAUGAGCUCAUCCACUGGAAUACCUGCAAUUGACUCAUCCUUACUAUCACCAAGGAGGGAGGAUGAUGGAUACAUGUUAGUGCCCAUGCCAAGCCUUCGACCAGUCUCUUUGCCAAUAGCAAGUUGGUCACCAGUGAUCAUCUUAACAUUGACACCAAGGUCAAGGGCUCGACGAAUAGUCUCUGCACUGUCAUGCCUUGGAGGA